GGUUGUGGCUCAGUGGUAAAAUGCUCACCUGGUAUGUGCAGGGCCCUGGGUUCGAUUCUCAGCACCA
Molecule: transfer RNA, 67 nt
Filed under: Marmota monax (woodchuck)
Lineage: Eukaryota; Metazoa; Chordata; Mammalia; Rodentia; Sciuridae
Description: tRNA.Thr
Source: RNAcentral